UUUCCGGUUGAUCCCGCCGGAGGCCACUGCUAUCGGGGUCCGAAUAAGCCAUGCGAGUCAAGGGGCUCCCUUCGGGGAGCACCGGCGCACGGCUCAGUAACACGUGGCUAACCUACCCUCGGGUGGGGGAUAACCUCGGGAAACUGAGGCUAAUCCCCCAUAGGGGAGGAGGUCUGGAAUGAUCCCUCCCCGAAAGGCGUAAGCCGCCCGAGGAUGGGGCUGCGGCGGAUUAGGUAGUUGGUGGGGUAACGGCCCACCAAGCCUACGAUCCGUACGGGCCCUGAGAGGGGGAGCCCGGAGAUGGACACUGAGACACGGGUCCAGGCCCUACGGGGCGCAGCAGGCGCGAAACCUCCGCAAUGCGCGAAAGCGCGACGGGGGGACCCCGAGUGCCCACGCUCUGCGUGGGCUUUUCCGGAGUGUAAACAGCUCCGGGAAUAAGGGCUGGGCAAGUCCGGUGCCAGCAGCCGCGGUAAUACCGGCGGCCCAAGUGGUGGCCACUGUUAUUGGGCCUAAAGCGUCCGUAGCCGGCCCGGUAAGUCUCUGCUUAAAUCCUGCGGCUCAACCGCAGGGCUGGCAGAGAUACUGCCGGGCUUGGGACCGGGAGAGGCCGGGGGUACCCCAGGGGUAGC
RNAcentral lists this ribosomal RNA (632 nucleotides) under uncultured archaeon. RNAcentral's name for it is "bacterial SSU rRNA". It matches the Rfam family "Archaeal small subunit ribosomal RNA", at positions 1 to 630 of the family's 1478-position model. The record is from RNAcentral.